CCAAUAGCGUAUAUUAAAGUUGUUGCAGUUAAAAAGCUCGUAGUUGAAUUUCGGGGUUCUUCCGUUGGUCAGGCUAACCAGUCUGUACUAGCGUGUAGAAUCUCUACCUUCUGGGGAACCAUCAUGUUAUUAAUUUAGCGUGGUGGGAAACCAGGACCUUUACCUUGAAAAAAUUAGAGUGUUCAAAGCAGGCUUACGUCUGAAUACAUUAGCAUGGAAUAAUAAAAUAGGACGGUGGUCCUGUUUUGUUGGUUUCUGAAUCACCGUAAUGAUUAAUAGGGAUAGUUGGGGGCAUUAGUAUUCAAUUGUCAGAGGUGAAAUUCUUGGAUUUAUUGAAGACUAACUUCUGCGAAAGCAUUUGCCAAGGAUGUUUUCAUUAAUCAAGAACGAAAGUUAGGGGAUCGAAGACGAUCAGAUACCGUCGUAGUCUUAACCAUAAACUAUGCCGACUAGGGAUCGGACGAUGUUAAAUUUUAUUGACUCGUUCGGCGCCUUACG
Molecule: ribosomal RNA, 498 nt
Filed under: uncultured Glomeromycotina
Lineage: Eukaryota; Fungi; Glomeromycota
Description: partial small subunit ribosomal RNA
Rfam family: Eukaryotic small subunit ribosomal RNA
Source: RNAcentral